Ceratotherium simum simum (southern white rhinoceros) is the source of this 515-nucleotide non-coding RNA. Lineage: Eukaryota; Metazoa; Chordata; Mammalia; Perissodactyla; Rhinocerotidae. The record is from RefSeq and is a predicted model, not a curated record.
UGGCAGUGCCCAGAUCGCAGCUGUAGGCACAUAAAGUUUUGAUGCUGGUAUCCAGAUCCCUCCUUCUCAUCAACAACAAAAAGGAUGACUAUUUAAGAUUCUGUUGUCUUAAAGGCUUUAUUAAGUUAUUGCCCAAGGAUUAUCCAACUGCAAAAUAAAAGCUACUGUAAUUUCUGCAUGAUUACAAGAAGAAUAGAUAAUAUUACCUAGCAUGCUAUAUUACAAAUUUCUGAAAGCUUAUUUGAAAUUUCAGGUGUUAACAAGACCAGAGUUGUUUUCUUCUUCAACCAUGAAUUGUAUCAAAGUUCACAGGCUUUAGUUCUCUUUUGAUUUCUAUCCGGCAUCAAUAUAGCUUAUUUGCAUGACUGAUUAUAAAAUUUACUUAUUCAUUGAACGAUGCUUAGCUGCUGUACUCUUCAAGCUCUGUGAUAAUAACUGCAGGGUGACUGACUGAUAACGGCUUAUCAUCUCUCUACUGCAAAAGCAUGUAAAUUAGUAAAAUAAAUGUUUAGCUG